UGUACGUGGUGUUACUGCGAAGGGGGGACGGAGAAGGCUAUGUUGGCCGGACGACGGUUGUCC
RNAcentral lists this ribosomal RNA (63 nucleotides) under Escherichia coli. Its description in RNAcentral is "partial 23S ribosomal RNA". The record is from RNAcentral. Lineage: Bacteria; Pseudomonadati; Pseudomonadota; Gammaproteobacteria; Enterobacterales; Enterobacteriaceae.